UGAACGCUAGCUACAGGCUUAACACAUGCAAGUCGAGGGGCAGCAUGAAGUUUGCUUGCAAACUUUGAUGACGACCGGCGCACGGGUGAGUAACGCGUAUCCAACCUGGCCCAUACCACGGGAUAGCCCGUCGAAAGGCGGAUUAAUACCGUAUGCUGUCAUUAAGAUGCAUAUAUUGAUGACGAAAGGAUUGGCGGUAUGGGAUGGGGAUGCGUCUGAUUAGCUUGUUGGCGGGGUAACGGCCCACCAAGGCGACGAUCAGUAGGGGUUCUGAGAGGAAGGUCCCCCACAUUGGAACUGAGACACGGUCCAAACUCCUACGGGAGGCAGCAGUGAGGAAUAUUGGUCAAUGGGCGAGAGCCUGAACCAGCCAAGUAGCGUGCAGGAUGACGGCCCUAUGGGUUGUAAACUGCUUUUAUAAGGGAAUAAAGUGGGUCACGUGUGACUUUUUGCAUGUACCUUAUGAAUAAGGACCGGCUAAUUCCGUG
This 488-nucleotide ribosomal RNA is filed under the name uncultured bacterium. Its description in RNAcentral is "bacterial SSU rRNA". It matches the Rfam family "Bacterial small subunit ribosomal RNA", at positions 30 to 507 of the family's 1533-position model. The record is from RNAcentral.